GUCGCCAGCAAUAUCGGUAUAAGUCAAAGCACCUUUAGCGUUAAGGUACUGAAUCUCUUUAGUCGCAGUAGGCGGAAAACGAACAAGCGCAAGAGUAAACAUAGUGCCAUGCUCAGGAACAAAGAAACGCGGCACAGAAUGUUUAUAGGUCUGUUGAACACGACCAGAAAACUGGCCUAACGACGUUUGGUCAGUUCCAUC
This 201-nucleotide ribosomal RNA is filed under the name uncultured prokaryote. RNAcentral's name for it is "partial 16S ribosomal RNA". The record is from RNAcentral.